RNAcentral lists this long non-coding RNA (318 nucleotides) under Ananas comosus (pineapple). Its description in RNAcentral is "long non-coding RNA (ACOM_LNC032887)". Lineage: Eukaryota; Viridiplantae; Streptophyta; Magnoliopsida; Poales; Bromeliaceae. The record is from RNAcentral.
UUUGCAUAAAAAAUUCACUUAUUUUGGGCUUUUGCAAAACCGGGCCACCUUUUUUAUUUUUGCAAAUUCGGUCCGCUUUUUCAGCAAACUGACCAAAAUACCCUUAUUACUUUUUCUCUUUCCUCUUUCUCUCUCCUCUUCGUUCUCUCGUUCUUUUUUUUUUUUUUCGCCGAAAAAAAAAGCGACGGCCGGAGCACCGCUAGGCGGGCUCUUCUUCUUCUUCUUCUUCUUCCUGCAGGAGCAAUUUUUUUUUCUCUUUUUCUUUUUCUUCUUCUUCUUCUUCCUCCUGCUGGAGCUUUUUUUUUUUUUUCCCUCUUC